UACGAACCGUGCGAACGUUGUUCGGAAUCACUGGGCUUAAAGGGCGCGUAGGCGGGCGGUCAAGUCAGGGGUGAAAUCCCACGGCUCAACCGUGGAAGUGCCUUUGAUACUGGCCGUCUCGAGGGAGGUAGGGGCGUGCGGAACUUCCGGUGGAGCGGUGAAAUGCGUAGAUAUCGGAAGGAACACCGGUGGCGAAAGCGGCGCGCUGGACCUUUACUGACGCUGAGGCGCGAAAGCCAGGGGAGCAAACGGG
This 253-nucleotide ribosomal RNA is filed under the name uncultured bacterium. Its description in RNAcentral is "partial 16S ribosomal RNA". It matches the Rfam family "Bacterial small subunit ribosomal RNA", at positions 524 to 776 of the family's 1533-position model. The record is from RNAcentral.